GCCGACGCCCCGUGGGCUGACAGGUGGGGCUCGGUCGUCUCCGGCUCCCGCGCGGCACGGGCGGGUCACCCUCACCCACCGGGUUCACGCAUUUUGGUUUGUCCGGCUGGUUGUUUGGGCCGUGGUUUUUCAUGUGAUUUGGGUUUGAAUUUAUCCGUCGUCGGGCGCGCAACGGUCACGCGGCGACGAGGUUGGGUUGGUGUUUGUGCGUGUGCGUGUGUGCUGUUACUCACUCACCGGUUUGGGAGUGUACGUUGCGUCCAAAAGGAAUCCGUGGCGGCCUCGGCAGGGCAGUAAUGCCAAUUUAAGCAUUUCGGCCCAUGCCCCGCCUACCGCAAGAGGACAACCUAAUGUUGGCGUUGCUGCUAUGUAUAGAUAGCUGGCUGCCUUGGCUGACUGCACUAGUUUUUCUCAGACGUUCAAGUCGAAAUGUUGCUGUGUUUUCUUUCAAUAGGUUCUGGGCCAUACAGUCGUACUAUUAUUUGUUGACGUGCAACUGGCUAUAGCUUUCUUUUGCUGGACAAACGUGGCACCAUUAUUUGUUUAUGCAGAGGCUACAGGAAAAAAAUUGUGGCAAUCAUUGCUCAAAAUGACCCCUCUGACAGUAUGCGACCCUUCAAGAUGACUGUGUGGCCUUCAGCGACGCACUGAUGUUUUACCGUUUGGCCUAUUGAAUUUUACGGGAACCCGGGAUAGAAACUGUUCGGUUGCAAUAUAGAAAAAUGCAAAUAAUAACAAUAAUCCUAGUACCAAGAUUAGGUGUAUUUCACAUAAACAAAGGAAAAAAAACAAGAGAUCAGACUCAAUGUAUUUUUCUUCUUCUAUGGGACUGCAUACAAAGUCAUUGAAAGAUUCGUAUACAUUGUAAUCCAACAAACCAAAUUUGAUUUUUGGGAAGGGAAAAGAAACUGUUAUAGGAUCCGCCAUGUUUCUGAGAAGUUACUCGUUGGCAUUUUCGUCAUGUCAGCCUACAAAUAAGGUUAUCACCAAUUACAAAGGAAAAGAGGUGGUGGCUGGUUUUGGUACAAGUAAUACUGUUGUGAGGUCCAGAGAGGUGUGGCAGCCGCCUCCUUUUGGCCACAUCAAGAUCAAUGUCGAUGCAAGUUUUGUGGAGAGUUUAAGUGCCGCGAGCGUUGGGGUGGUGGCCAGGAGUUGUACGGGUGAUAUUAUUGUCUUAUCUUGGGACUUCAUUGGGUUAUGCUCUGGUGUGGAUGAAGCGGAGCUUCGAGCAUGCCUAGCUGAGCUUUAUAUCGGUAUUUCUCUUAACAUGCCUAUUAUUUUGGAAACUGAUUGUGCGUUCGUGGCUUCUUUCCUAGCAAAUGAAAGUUGUGACAGAUCCUCGCUCAUAGACCUCAAGAAGGAAGCACUUAGCAUCAUCAGACUUCUGGGAAACUUCAAGUUGUCAAAAAUAAACAGAAGGGCCAAUUCAGUAGCACAUGAGAUUGCUAAAUUUAGUUUCAAUAAUAGAUGUGAUGGUUUUCUUUUUAAUAAUUUUCCGCCCCGUGUGGCGCAUGCUGUUAUGAACGAUUGUAACGGCGUUUUAAUUAAUUAAUAUAUGGACGGGUGUUUUUCAAAAAAAAAACCAAACAUGAGAUAUGUAAAAAAGAUUCUAAGGAAUAAAUUCUUCAAAAUCCAUAUAAAAUUCAUUUGAACCAAACAAGUCGUUACCAUAUGCUUUUAGAAAUUAAAUCACAUGAAUAGGUGAAUUUUAAUAGCAUCUGAUUCUAGAAUGGGCAAAUUUUUAUCAUCUUACUGGUGCCCUUACAUAGAUUUUACAAAACAAAUCACACAUAUUAGUGAAUUUUAUUAUGCUUUUGAAAAAGGAUCCAUAUAUUAAUUAUUAAAUAAUGGUUUUGGGAGGUUUGUAUUUUCAUAGGGGUCCUUAUACUAAUCAGGGGCCAUACAUUAAUUAUUAAUCUUACUAGAGAGUAGUGCUCCACCCUGCGUAAAGUUUUCGGAGGUUUCCAAAUUUUGUAUUUAAAAAUGAAUUUUGAUUUAUUUUCUUAGUCAAAGCGGAACUGCGUUUCCUAUUAAUGUCAUCUUUAACUUAAGAUUGAGUUGCAUUGAACUUUUGGUACAUGUCUUUAUUUGUGUGUCUUUCACUAGAUAAUUGCUCAUGUUGCAACGGAUGGAUAAAUAUUCUAUUAUGAUAAAUAUUUGCUACCAUCAGUGAUAGUUACCACCACUUGCAUUUUGUAUAUGAGUAAAAUGCAUCACUGGCGGCGGCCUCGGAUAGCGAUGCAACGGUGGCUCUAUGGGGCAGAGUCGCGGUUGUGCAUUGUUUCGGUGGCGGCUUGGUGAUGCGUGGGUAGCGAGGUCGUCGGCCUGGUCGAUGCGCCCUAGAGGGGGCGAUUUGACUGUACGUCGGGGCGGCGGCCCCGGAUGUGGUGCGACGUUCAUGGUCUGCGGGCGGUUGCCCUGAGCAGUAAGGGCUGCGGGCAGCUGGGUUGUGCGGCGUUGCUGCUCGAGGGGAGCGGUGGUAUGUCGGGGCGGCGGCCCCGGAAGGUGGUGCCGGUUGAUUGCGCUGGGCGCGACGGAGCGGUGGAUGUCGGGGCGGCGGCCCCGAGAGAAUCACUGUGGCGGCCAGACUUCUGUGGCAACGAUGAUGGUGGGAGCGAUGUCGGCGACGUGGCAAUGGUUGCGAUAGUCGGCUCUUCUCCGGCGUGUCCACGGUAUUGCCUCGGUUUGUUUGUUGCUGUGGAGUCGAAGCUGCGGCGGCGGGGCCCUGUGGUGUACGAUGACUGGCUGCAGGUGGCCCUUUCGGCGAUUUUCCGUGGCGCCAGCCGUGCCUGGUUUCGUUCUUCUGAGUUCUUCAUCAGAGUCGAAGCUGCGUUGUCUGGUCGCAGGUCGACAUGUUGUCGAUAAGGGUGGGCUUUGCCCUGUGUGUCUCAGUCUAUGGGAGUGGGCUUGGCCCUUGUUGUUCCGGUUUUUGGCCGGUUUUCCGUAAUUAACUGAGCAAUUCUCUUCCGCUUAUUUAAUAGAUGAGGCAAUCUUUGCCUCCGUUUCGAAAAAAAUGCAUCAUUGGUCAUUGUACUUGUGUCGAAAGUUCACUUUGGUCAUUGUAUUUAGAAAUACAAUCAAUACGGUCACUAAAUACGACGUAAGGUGAUUAUAUGGUCACUAGCUCACCGUAUAGUUUCGUAUAACCAGUCAAACUGCCUAUGUGGCAAAUAAGCAGCAUAGUCAGCCAACGUUCUGUCUCUACCUUUAUGCCGGUCCCACCUGUCAGUGAGUUGAAUGAAAAAAAAGCAUAGUAAAAAUUAUAUUAGCCAGUGGGGAUUCAGACCAGGGACUUGUCGCUAGCGCCCAAACGAGCUAGCCAAUUGAACCAGCUGAACAUUGUGCUAAAUAUGUACAGCGCGUCCUUAUUAUUAUAACAUGCACCACGCAUGCACACACCCGCCGAGACGCACACAACACGUAUGUGCACACUCUGUAGCAGCCUAGCACACACAGCAUGCACGCAUGACAUACCGGAGGCCGCCGGAUCGUGCUCCGACAGCCGGGCCGCUGGUGCGUGCACACACCACGACGAGAGCGACCGGUGUGGAUGUCGCCGUUGUCGUCCAUGUGGCCAUCUUACAUGGGAACGAGAUCCUCUAACGUAGUAGGAAUUACUGCAGAGGGACGUAGAUGUCUAGCGCCCGUGGAUGUCUCAUCCGAUGGCUGGAAGCUGGAAUGUAGCAAGCGCCCUAGCAAUGCAUGAAGCCAUGCGGCCCAUAGCGUAAGACCAACUCCAACGCAUACCCCCAAAUUGGUCCGACCGCGUCCGUUUAGGCCCAAACGGACAGGCGAGCCGACCCAACGCGCAUCUCCAUUGUCAAAAUGUGUCUGUUUUUUGUCCGGCCCGACCCAUUCCAGACGUAUACUUGAGCGAGCUUUAUGGUCACGCGGACAACGAACGGACGAGCACCUGGCAUCUCGGCGUCCGCCUCAGGCCUGCGUGUCGGCCGUCCAACAACCACCCACCGACCCUAGUCAAUGCGCACGGGUGGUUGGGCCCGCAAGUUAGCCACCCAGACGCCCCCGGCCACGUCCUUUUUAUGGGGAAGUCGCGGACUUCCACUGCCACUUCCACUUCCCCGUCCCCAUCCACUUCCCCACCUUUGCCCCGAUACUGGGAGACCGGCACCCGCUGCCUUGGUCAGAUGCGCACCUCGCCAAUGGGUGGCAUUUGAGCCCGGAUCGGGUGCCCAUUCCCCCCGUCUCGUCGAGCGACCGUGCCCGCCUCCAGGAGAUCGCCCAUCGUCGUGCCAGGAUUCCACGCGAGCUCCUCUUCGGAGACGUGUACGUGCCGGAGUUGCACGUCAAGCAAGAGGUGAAGGAGGAGCCCAUAGAGGAGUGUGCAUGGGUGCCGUGGUCACCACCCCAGCAACGCCGCCCCUGCCGCCCGGCCCAUUCUGGGGGUCGCCGCCCCACCUCUAGACGCCCCUACCCUACAUCGACCUAACGAGCGACGACGAGGAUGGUGGCGCCUGAAGACGGCGGAUGCGACAACAUCGGCAGCGACGGUGACGGCUUCUUCGGCGCGCGGGGCACCCACAUUAUCACUUUUAUGUUUUUUUAAUUUAAUCUUAAGUUCUGUGCAUGGGCCGUGAGGACGGCGGACUAUUUAAUUAAGUUAUUUAUGUCUUAAGCUAUUCUACAAUGCAUUUUUUGGUUUUUCAAUGCUUUUUUGGUAUUUCUUUUAUUUACGUCUACCACGGACAAGUUAGGGACGUGGCCGCGCGUUGGGUGCCGCGACACUAGGCCGGCCCAAACCGAACAUGCGCGUCCGUUUUCCCGUUCCAAACGGACCAAAUCCGGAUCAAACGGCGUUCAUUUGGGGUCGAGCAUUGGAGUUGCCCUAAGGGGAAAAAACUUCAAUCUCCGUGGCUAUUCGCUCAUUGUCGCCAUUGCUCGCGCUCGACGCCGCCGCGAAACCGAGCUUCGCAGCAAGAGGGAGGGAGGGUGACUGUCGGUGCCAUGUCCACACCUAGCUGCUCAUUCAAAUUUGUUCAUGUACGAAUAGCAAUUGGAAGCUCUAAAGCGUGGUGCAGCCGACCAUGGCUGUGGAGACGGGAGUGCAGUCAUCGUGCUACGUGCUGUGGCGAUUGAUGAGGAAUUUCUAGCUGACAUGUUUUUUUUACUUCUCAAGGUGAUUGGGCUGCUUAUGGGCCAUGCAACCAACGCUGCUGAUUCUCGUUUGCAGAUCCCACCGUCGGAUGGCUCAUGAACGGGCGAUACGUAUAGGACGUCCCUCUGCAGUAGUUUGUAGCUACGUUAGAGGACCCCGUUCCGGACGAGACAACUAUCUACCACAUUCAAACUGGUUGUCCGUCUGUCGGCCUACCGGCAUUAGAUAGGCGCGGCGGCCGAGAAACAAACUCUGGUGCUCUCAAUGAAAUAGUCCGCCACUUGGCCUGGCCGAAGCCCGCUUUUGUACGUGGCCAUGCCUGGCAUGAUCCGCACAACACCACGUCCGCUUCCUUUCCUCCUCCAUGCACCACCUCCGCCCUGACCGCAAGCUCUAGGGCGAUGUGGGAGAGCCUCUACACAAAGCAGAAGCAUGAGUUGGUCGUCCCUGUAGCCAGCUAACAAGCCCGUCAUGCGCAGCGGAUAGAGGCCAACUUGCCAGUGAGUUCACCGGUGAGCUCACCGGAGGUAAGCGACCACGACCCCAUGAGGGAGGAGGCGUUCGACGAUGAGCCGACGCCCCCGCCCGCACCCAUGCAUAACUGCUUCACUAUGGAGCAGGCGCAGGAGGAGCAAUGCUACGACUUACCCCUCCUCGCGCAUCAUCGGCUGGUGGAGGGCUAGAUAUACGCCAAGUUCGCGAGCGAGGAGGCCAUGGAGGUUAUGGCCAAGGAGAACCAUAACUUCGUCACCGAGCAGCGGGCGCUCUACUAGGCCGCACACAAAGCUCAUGCUGACUGCAACAUGGUCGCAACGCCGGAAGCGCAGGCGAUUGCGGAUGUGAACACUAGAAGUUGCGCACCAUUCGUGUCACCCGCAUAGUUCAUGGGCCCGCUACGUCCACGAGGCCAACCCAUUCACGUCCAUCAUGGACAUCACCUCCACCGGCAACGUUUAGGUCGCAGACUCGGACGAGGAAGAGUGUGACAUGAGAGACGAAGGUGUGUGUGUCCCAUGUGGGUACUUCCAUGUCCCAUGUAUUACUCUUCCUCACCAGUGACUUGCAACUUCACUUCCCGAGGCUCAUGGCCGACGAGGAUGCCAAAACACGGGGAACAACAAUGAUCCCGAUGAAGAUUUAGACUAGGUUAACUUCUAGACGCUUUUGUUUAAUCAAAUAUGUCGAAAAUGUUAUGAAUAUGAUUCAGUUUAAAUGAAAAUCAUUCAGUUUACGUGAAUAUCAUAUGGUUUGUUCAAAUUCCUAUUGAAAUGUAUGUAGAUGUUUGAGGUACAUGGUUGGAUGGUAGGCUCUCGCAUGACUAUCUGCGGAUGCAUCCACGUGUAGAUACUGUCAGGGUUAUAAAUAAUGGGUAGGCCGAGGUAUACGAAUGGCCCACCAAAAGGCCAUAGUCCAUCGGAAAUAUGGCCCAGAAGAUCACGGGCAGGAGGCAACAUUGCUAGCACAUCAAAGGAUAUGAGGGUGGCUUAGGAGUAGGCCAAGUCCCUACAGUCGGAUGUUGAGCCACCUGAUAACUAUGACCCAACAAUUAGUCAGGGAGAUGACGGGAGCAGUCGGCGAGGGAGUCCUGGACUAUGGGGUCCUCGGGGAGCCGGCCUAUGUGACAUGGGCCGGACUGAUGGGCCAUGAAGAUACGAGAUAGAAGGCCUUCUCCCGUGUCCGGAUGGGACUCUCCUUUGCGUGGAUGGCAAGCUUGGUGUCCGGAUGUAUAGUUUCCUUCCUCUAUAAACCGACUUUGUACAACCCUAGUCCCCUCCGGUGCCUAUAUAAACUGGAGGACGUAGUCCGUAGAGAGGAGAACAAUCAUACAGGCUAGACAUCUAGGGUUUAGCCAUUAGGAUCUCGAGGUAGAUCAACUCUUGUAACCCCUAUAUUCAUCAAAGUCAAUCAAGCAGGAAGUAGGGUAUUACCUCCAUUAAGAGGGCCCGAACCUGGGUAAACAUCAUGUCCCCUGCCUCUUGUUACCUUCGAUCCUUAGACGCAUAGUUCGGGACCCCCUACCCGAUCUGCCGGUUUUGACACCGACAUUGGUGCUUUCAUUGAGAGUUCCACUGUGCCGUCGUUAGAAGGCUCGAUGGCUCCAUCAAUCAUCUACAACAAUACCGCCUUGAGGGAGACUUUUCUCCCUGGCCAAAUCUUCGUAUUCAGCGGCUUUGCACUGCGCGCCAACUCGAUUGGCCAUCUGGAGCAGAUCGAUAGCUACGCCCCUGGUCAUCAGAUCAGUUUUGGAAAUCUGAACUACGUCGCUGACAUCCGAGGAGGCUUGAUCUUCCAAGGGUUCGCGGUCCCAAUCACCGCUCUGGCCUUAGAUCCGGAGCGCACCGCCAGGUCCGAAGACGGGAAUUUAAAACCCGCCGGACUCCCUGCAGCUAUAGAACCUGACACCGGAGAACCGGAGGGGAUUGCAUCACCGGCAGGCCUGGAGUCACGCCAAGCACCUUCUAUUCGCAUGGAGCCGGACUCGACUCCGGACACCAACUCCGAACUCUUGAGAUCCGCAUCAUAUGAGCUUGGCCAGGGAACUUCUGUACCGCCCUGCUCCAUGGACUCUCGCUUCCUUGUCCAAACCUCACUCUUAAACAAGGCCCUGGACUUAAUGCAGCCUCUCGCCAUUGCAGAAGGAUCGCUGCCAAACUACGCCCAGCCCACACUAGGGGCUGAGAGCAGGGAAUUUUACGUCCCACCCACCACCCACUUCAUAGCUACUGUCGAGACUUAACCAACAUGCUCGAUUACGCCUCCGAAGACAUCGACGGUAUGGACGACGAUGCCGAAGAGGAGCAAAGCCAGAACUCGCCAUUUAUCGGACGCUGGACGACCACUUCCACACAUGACGUGUACAUGGUGGACACACCCAAAGAGGAUGACGGCGAUGGUGGUAAGGAUCCACUUGAGGACAAGCCUCCCGUGGCACCACCAAAGCGUCGACAUCAGUGGCGCCGCUCGAAAUCGCGUCGUGAAAAAGACAGUAAUACCGGCACCGGAGACAACAACACUCCAGAUAACGCCGAAGACCAAGAAGCCCCUAUAAAACCAACAUCCGAGCAUGAUGAUUGGGACGAUGGGCAAGUCAACCCCGACGAUCCUAUCGGGAACGAGGGCCCGGAGGAUAGUAACUACUUACCGAUCUCCGAAGAGGACAAGAGCCUCGGCCAUGAAGAUUUCAUCAUGCCAGAGGACCCCCUCGAACAAGAGCACUUUAAGCGCCGCCUAAUAGCCACUGCAAGAAGCCUGAAAAAGAAGCAGCAGCACCUUCAAGCUGAUCAGGAUCUGCUCAAUGACAGAUGGACUAAUGUCCUGGUAGUAGAGGAAUACAGCCUCAAAUGCCCAACUAAGAGCUACCAGAAGCACAAGCUACUACCCCAAUUCGAUGAUGAGGCCCCAGAGCCUAUACCGACAACGUGUAAAGCUGCCAACGAACCUGACCGACCACCACGUGGCCAGGACAGAGUGGCAACUCAAGCCGAACACCAGCCUGCACCACCCUGCCAUAAAGGCAGAGAGACAGCGGCUGCGGGAUACACUUACGACCUACGACCGGACCUGGAUAAUAGAGCCGGUCAGACCAGAUCAAUCUAUGGAUCAAUGGGGCGUGCCCCAGCGCGAGAAGACGGCCAUCAGGCCUGGCGCGACAAGCACACCUUCACCCAGGCCGAAAGACACAUACGGACUCCAUCCGAACUGCGUCGUGACGUUGCUCGAUACAGAGGCGUCGCGCACACCCUGUGCUUCACCAAUGAGGUGAUGGAGCACCAGUUCCCAGAAGGGUUUAAACCCGUGAACAUUGAAUCAUACGAUGGCACAACGGAUCCCGCAGUAUGGAUUGAAGACUUUCUUCUCCACAGUCACAUGGCUCGCGAUGACGAUUUGCACGCCAUCAACUACCCCCCCUAGAACUUAAGGGACCAGCUCGGCACUGGUUAAACAGCCUCCCAGAAAACUCUAUUCGAAGCUGGGAAGACCUGGAGGAUGCCUUUAGAGACAACUUCUAAGGCACUUAUAUCCGGCCUCCGAACGCCGAUGACCUCAGUCUCAUAGUCCAGCAACCUGGAGAGUCAGCCAGAAAAUUCUAGACCCGAUUCCUAAUUAAAAAGAACCAAAUUAUUGAUUGUCCGGACGCCGAGGCUCUAGCAGCCUUUAAACACAUCAUUCGCGACGAAUGGCUCGCCCGACACCUCGGCUAAGAAAAGCCGAAAUCCAUGGCAGCCCUCACAUCACUCAUGACCCGCUUUUGCACAGGCGAAGAUAGCUGGCUAGCCCGUAGCAGCAACAGUACCAACGACCCUGGCACUUUUGAAACCAGAAACAACAACGGCAGGCCCCGACGCAAUGAAAACAAACGUCGGAACAACACUGACAAUGCCGAAGACACGACAGUGGACGCCGGAUUCAGUGGCUCCAAAGCCAGUCGGCGGAAGAAGCCAUUCAAAAGAAACAAAGAUGGUUCAUGUAGCCUGGAUCGAAUACUCGAUCGACCUUGCCAGAUUCACGGCACCCCUGACAAACCUGCCAACCAUGCCAACAGAAGUUGUUGGGUUUUUAAACAGGCUGGUAAAUUAAACACCGAGCACACGGGGAAAGGGUCGCCCAGCGAGGAUGACAACGAGGAGCCUCGCCCACCGAACUCAGGGGGACAGAAGAAAUUUCCCCCCGAGGUCAAAACGGUGAACAUGAUAUAUGUUACUCACAUCCCCAAGAGGGAGCGCAAGCGCGCGUCAAGGGACGUCUAUGCAAUAGAGCCAGUCGCCGCAAAAUUCAACCCAUGGUCAGCAUGCCCGAUGACUUUCGUUCACAGAGACCAUCCGACCAGUAUCCGUCAUGGAGGUUCAGCCGCGUUGGUCCUCGACCCAAUUAUCGAUGGAUUCCACCUCAUGAGAGUCCUAAUGGACGGCACCAGCAGUCUUAACCUGCUCUAUCAGGACACAGUCUGCAAAAUGGGUAUUGACUCGUCAAGAAUCAAGCCCACCAAAACUACCUUCAAAGGAGUAAUACCCGGUGUAGAGGUCCGCUUCACGGGCUCAAUCACAUUGGAGGUCGUCUUCGGUUCGUCGGACAACUUCCAAAGCGAAGACUUGAUCUUCGACAUCGUCCCUUUCCGCAGCGGCUAUCACGCACUGCUCGGACGAAUUGUGUUUGCCCGCUUUAAUGCGGUCCAGCACUAAGCCUAUCUAAAACUCAAGAUGCCAGGACCAUGCGGUGUUAUAACAGUCCAUGGAAACAUGGAUCGCUCCCUCCGUACCGAGGAACACACCGCGACCCUCGCCGCGGAAGUAUAGGUCGACCUUAUCAAGCCAAACUCCACAUCGGCAGUCAAGCUCCCGGACCCUGUCAAACGAGUCCGGACUACCCUGCAGAAUGACAGUCUAGCUUGUCAGGAGCUCGAUUAGCAAUUCGGCCUCUGUCUUAGCCCGAACCGACCUGCGGCAUAUGUACUGCGUGCACAUAACUACGCACUCAACGUACCAUGUGCGAUGAUGGAGGCAUAUCAAGGAUAAAAUCCACAAUACGGCUCGACUGUACCUGGACCCUCAUAUAUACCUUUUACUUAUCUUUGUUCCUUCCAGGUUCCCUACAACCCACAUCACCUUUUUUAUGGUGCCAAGGGCCCUUUUCCCGACCCCUUAUGAAAACCUGCUCAUUAAUCCUCUCAAAGGAUCACACACCAAGGGGAAAAGCAGCGCAGAUGUAUGACAGAGUACCUAAAGGAUCUUCAAAGAUCACCUCUUCCCCUUUUUAGUACCUGUACACAGCUUUCCCUUGUGCUCGGAAUGUAAAAUAGCCUCUAUGCUUAUAACAUUAUCUGUACAAAUACGUUUUGACAUAUCAAUCAGACUAUAAUGGAAACAGUUUUUUCGCCCAACCUAUUCGGUACUGGCUUAUUUCCUAAUCUUUAUUCCCUUUUUUUUUCUUUCGUCUGAUUGUCAUGUACACCUUGGCACGACUUAAAUCGCCAGGGGCUCCAUUUAGCCAUGUACAUUCCUUAAAAAUAAACAUAAGUCCGAACACGAACAGCUCGGCGUCCCGAAUCUAGCAUUAUAUGCAUCGGUUCCGAAUCAUGUCUUGGGAAAAUAGUUGGGUUGCCCGGCUCCUGUGGUUACUACCUUACGUUCUGAUUGUUCGGCUAAGGAAGUAAAGGGAGAACUACUGCGAUUUUGUUUCUGGUUCAUCCGGAUAAACACCUCAGUAGAGAAAGCCGAAAACUUACUGUCAUGAUGCGGCGAGAGCUGGUUAGCUAUUCAGUGACUAAGUAUAGUUCUCUUGCGAUUUUUUCCGUGUCACAUGAAGGACCGGUUUUCACCUGGUCAGGCGUCUACAACAACCAAGUUCGGAUAACCGAACAAUACCAGGGGCUGCGCCUACAAUCUUCUUGUCAAACUCCUAUGGCUAAGUGAGAGUGAUAAAACCGCAUAGUCUGAUUGCCUGGUUCGCCGCACUAACACCUCCUUCAAGGACCAAGUCGUUGAGUUAAGUGUAUUUUUGUGCUGCUCCGAACACCCCCAUACUAUCUAUGCAAGGAGCUGAAGCCAAAGACUGGCCAACUCUCAAAUUCAAUAAACGGCCGCAACGGAGGGAAAAAUAAUUGAGAUGAAACAAGAAAUAUAUUACACAAAUGACUUGUUUUCAUAAAUACAAAGUUCGGGCAGCACAGAUACAUUCAUUCAAAAAUUAUGUCCUUCGAACACUGGCCCUCUACAAUGCGGGAUCCUUCCAGGACGUUGUUGAAAUACCGCCCCGACGUACGGUGCUCCUUGCCUGCGGUCGGUCCCUCGGUUGCAAUAUUAGUUGCAUUCAUCUUCGCCCACUGCACCUUGACACAGGCGAAGGCCAUCCGGGCACCUUCGAUACAGACUGACCGCUUUAUUGCGUCAAGCCGUGGGCAGGCAUCGACUAGCCGCUUCACAAGCCCAAAGUAGCUAUCGGGUAUGGGUUCGGCUAGCCAAAGACAGACUAUAACAUCCUUCAUGGCCAGCUCGGCCACCCUAUGUAGCUCGGUCAACCGUUUCAGCUGAUCACUGAGGGGCACAGGAUGCUCUGGCGCAAGGUACUGCGACCAGAACAACUUCUCUGUUGAGCUCCCCUCUUUCGCUCGGAAGAAAUCUGCAGCAUCAGCAACACUUCGGGGUAGAUCCGCAAACGCUCCUGGAGAACUCCAAAUGCGUGUCAGUAAGGUGUACUGUCUCCUUACAAUUUUUCUCUACAUAUUAAAGGCCUUACCCGCCGCGAUCUGCUUGGCCUCUCGGAUCUCCCGACAGGUGAUGUCGCUUGAAGCUUCGCUGGUAUUUCCCCAAAGAGGAAGGGAUGAUGCAACACAUCGGUGGUAGCUAUUUCCCUCAGAUAUGAAACCAAGGUUAUCGAACCAGUAGGACAAGCAAGCAACACAACGUAAACAUCCCCUGCACACAAAGAACAACACCUUGCAACCCGACGUGUUAAAGGGGUUGUCAAUCCCUUUUGGGGUACGGCGCCUCAAGAUAGGCAAAGGCGUGAGGUAAAUUUGUAGAUGGGAUAAAUAGAUAGCUGAACAAAUAAAUUGCCGCAAGGUAUUUUUGCAUUUUUGGUUUAAUAGAUCUGAAAAUAAACGCAAGGAAAAACUAGAUCGCAAGGCAAAUAUAUGAGAAAGAAGACCCGGGGGCCGUAGGUUUCACUAGUGGCUUCUCUCGAGAAAAAUAGCAAACAGUGGGUGAACAAAUUACUGUUGGGCAAUUGAUAGAACUUCAAAUAAUCAUGACGAUAUCCAGGCAAUGAUCAUUACAUAGGCAUCACGUCCAAGAUUAGUAGACCGACUCCUACCUGCAUCUACUACUAUUACUCCACACAUCGACCACUAUCCAGCAUGCAUCUAGUGUAUUGAGUUCGUGGAAAAAUGGAGUAAUGCAAUAAGAACGAUGACAUGAUGUAGACAAGAUCCGUUUAUCUAUUACGGCAGAUAUGGAUCCCAUCUUUUUAUCCUUAGUAGCAAUGAUACAUACGUGUCGGUUCCCUUUUGGUCACUGGGAUCAAGCACCGUAAGAUUGAACCCACUACCUGGCACCUCUUCCCAUUGCAAGAUAAAUAGAUCAAGUUGGACAAAAAAAAAC
This 13212-nucleotide long non-coding RNA is filed under the name Triticum aestivum (bread wheat). RNAcentral's name for it is "long non-coding RNA (TAES_LNC016491)". Lineage: Eukaryota; Viridiplantae; Streptophyta; Magnoliopsida; Poales; Poaceae. The record is from RNAcentral.